UGUUCGGUAACAACAAUAUAUGUUUGAGGGAGCUGAAGUCGAAGUGUCAUGGUUUCAUACUUAAAAGUUCAAGGCUAAUCUCGUGCAUUAUUACUGCAAAUAACAUACGUGUGAAUAUGAGCAAGAGAAGAAAUUUGAGUUUUACUUAUGCAAAUUUACAGGGCCCAGUUUCGCCCUAAAUAUAAAAAAGAAGAUGUGAUAUGAUUUCCAAUGAGACAACUCUCCACAAG
Molecule: long non-coding RNA, 230 nt
Filed under: Mytilus galloprovincialis (Mediterranean mussel)
Lineage: Eukaryota; Metazoa; Mollusca; Bivalvia; Mytilida; Mytilidae
Source: RNAcentral